Long non-coding RNA from Varanus komodoensis (Komodo dragon), 1826 nucleotides. RefSeq lists it as uncharacterized. The transcript has 3 exons. NCBI's taxonomy places the organism in Eukaryota, Metazoa, Chordata, Lepidosauria, Squamata, Varanidae. The record is from RefSeq and is a predicted model, not a curated record.
AGUGGGAGCGGAAAAGACUUUAGUGUCCGCUGGUGGUCUGUUUAUUUGGUAAUACAGUGGUUUUUAAACACUCCUACCGGGUUUCCGGCGCCAGGACGCACAAAAUACCACAUAGCAACGUGAGAAGCAGGGACAGUAUCUUUUUAAAGAAAGAUAAAAUGUAAACUGAGUGAAACUUGCAAUAGAAUGUAAUCUGUCCCAUGAAAUAAGGGGAGGAACAAGCAGGUACACAGAAUCUCUCAUGGGAACAUAAGGAAUGAGUCAGCAACUUUUGCAAGACCCUUAAACCACUGAUAACAGGGAAAAACACCAUUAAAAUGUGGCCACCAGGGUUUUACCAUAUAAGGCGCCCCGGAAGAUUGUACCCUCGCGAGUAGCCAGCCAAUGGCGAAACGAGAGUAGUUGAGCAGCGGGGGGGAAAAGGGGAUGUGUAAAGACUCUUGUAUACUGAAAAAGAUUGCUCUUUGUUCCUCAGGUGCCUGAGGCACUGAGCCAGCCUUUGCGAACUCUUUUUGUAUUAAAUAAACUGCUUGUACCUACCUGAAUCCUGUCUCACGGAGUUCUGAAUCUCACAAUUGGCGCCCAGUGUGGGGCUCGAGGCAUCAACUGGAGGAGACGAGGAGGAACGAUCCGGAGGCGCCCCGUCGAGUUCGGCGGUCGGUGGUGAGUCUGUCGUCGCCUGCCCGAGCAGAACGAACUGAAAGACAAGGAUCCAGGAGGAUACAAUUCAGAAACAGCGGUUAGAAACUGGCUGUGGAGAAUUUAUUGACCAGGCAACUCUGUGCACAGACCCAGGUCCAAGGGAUUGUUGGUGCAGACCCCACCAUUGGAUUUCUGUGUCCAUCCUUUCAAAGCCAGGGAUUGGAUCCUGGUAAAGGAGGGGAAAGAAGAGAAGUUACAGCCCCAUUGGGGCGGGCCAUACCAAGUACUUUUGACUACAGAAUCGGCAGUCCAAACUAGGGAGAAGGGCUGGACACAUCAUACUCGGGUGAAGGGACCGGUUCCGGAGACAGUGGAGUGGAAACAAUGGUCGAUUGUUCACCCCAUACCAUAUCAUAGAAGCAAUCGGUGCUGGGACCAGGCUGUUGGUGGGCCUUGAUUUCCAGCGACCUAACCAGCCUGGACAUCAGCUCUGCGAAAGAGAUGUGUGGCUCUUCUGGUGAUGUGGGACCUUGGGAAGUGACUGCAGCAUCGGGUGAAGUCGAAUCGACCUUGGACUCAUCUGAGUCCACCCAAUAUGGAGCCGGGACGCUGGAGGAGGAAUCUCCUGGCGACACCGAUCUACCGCUCUCCCUAGAUGGUGCCCGCGGGGCGUCUCUCGGGGCUGUGGAAUGGACACGAUCCUGAGGAGCUGGGGGAGAGGAUCGAUCUCUAGCUGCCAGGUAGUAGCCAAUGGAUUGGUAGUCACCCCAUCUUGGAGCGGAAGAAUACCAGGAGUGGGACCAGUCGUUGAAUCGGGAAUCGGAAGAUCGACUUCUGUGACUUCUCGGGGGAGACAUUCCAGUCUUGGUAUUGAGCUGAACAGGAGGCAUAGGCGUUGGAGUCCUAGCCCUCGGCGGAGAAUCUUGUAUUUCGCCGUUGGAGAUCGAACCGCAAGGAACAACAAGAAGAAACUAAGAGACUAACUGGAACACUGGAGAGUAAUAUGAACGAGGGAAUACUAACUUGGAAGAGAGAAAGAGAACUCGACAAAGCGAAAGGGAACGAGUAACGAUCUAAGCGAGAGUGAAGCGGCACGAGGCACAACAAACGACGGUCGCGAAGGCUGGAAAAUGGCGGACACUCCGCUCCAUAUAUACUGUUGGGGGGAGGGGAGCAGAGUUUUC